Molecule: long non-coding RNA, 4170 nt
Organism: Synchiropus splendidus (mandarinfish)
Lineage: Eukaryota; Metazoa; Chordata; Actinopteri; Syngnathiformes; Callionymidae
Exons: 3
Source: RefSeq, a predicted model, not a curated record
GGAACUGGUCAAAUAGAACAAAAGGAUGCAGUAACUUGUGUUGAGUCUAAAAAGACUCAAGAGAAGGAACAGAAAUGAAAAAAGGAGGAAUUAAUCGGUUAGUCUGAGCCAAAAUUGAAGUAGGUGAUGAUAUAUUCAGUGCCAGAAGACAUGGACGCUGAUAAUCUCUGGCUCCUCACGGAGAACUUCAUCAAGAACAGGAUGGGAUGCAAAGAAGAAUGUAUUAUCGACUCUGGACAGCAGAUCGACUGGAGGCUCACAGUGGGUACAACACCUUGACUCAUCUAGCUGAGAUUCCAGCAGGAAGUAAAGACAUUUAAGGUUCUCAGGGCAGCACUGCUGGGUACAAAAAAAAAAAAUCACUUUGAACCACGACUACCCAAUACAGGAAUAUGAAAACUGAAAGUGGCGGUGAGAUAGAUACAGUAUUCCUGGAAACGAAGGUAAAGGGACACAUUUUCUUCCCAGCUGGGAGUUCAGUUCCAAGAUGGUACAGAGGAAAUCUGCCAAACCAGAAGAGGCAAACCAGGCCCACUGGCACAUUGUCAAAGGAAGACGAGCAAGAAUGAGGAGCAAAGACUGAGGGAUACACAAUCAGAAACCUUGUGAAGACGACAAAUAAAGGACCAAGACGCGCAAUGAUGCAGUUAAAAAGGACUCUGGAAAUCAAAGUGGACGCCAGUAAGACACACCUUAUACCGGACACUCUCACUGGGGUGCCGUUCUUAACUGAUCCCCAUGUAUUGAGACUUCAGCCCGUUCUACAGGGGAACACGCUCUCAUCUCUUCUGGUUUGUGACCUUGUCAUGUUACAGCAUUUGCACACUUCUCCUUUAAAAUGGUAGAUCACACAAAACCUCCAGAAUCCUUCCUGCAAAUAACUUUUUUUUCAUCAGCUGAGAUCCACAGGGGAUGCUGGAGGAAAAUGAUAAAGAAACAGUAAAAGAUGCGACAUAACAACCCCACACCUGCACAUGGGAGGACAGAAGACACUUCAUGAGUGGGUAGAUGCAAGUGUCAGAGAUGGAUGGAGUGACAGCAAGAGCAGAGGUAAAUUAAACAGGGACCAGGUGAGACUGACAUGAAAUGAGAGAAUAUGGGGGAGAAGUGGCUGCUCGGUGAGGACAGUCAAAGUACUCAAAAAGAUCUUCUACCUGAACAUUAAAGCAGAGUGCAGUUUCUAAUUUGCAAACUAUCAAUGACCCAGUGCUGUUGUGCCGUACACAUAUUGCAUCUGUCACCAUGAAUGCCGCCAGGAUACUUAAAGAAAGGCAUCCAUUUAUGCAUAAGCUGGGGGUCGUCCACUCGGUCAGGGUGGAGUAGGUUUUUGUUCCAGCCAGUCAAUAGGCUGACAUAGAUUAACCAAUCAGGUGUCAGCUGGAACAAGCUGCAGCAGACUGACAGUCAACUAUUAUUGUCUUCACACCUGCUUGGUUGACGUGUGACUGAUUGGUUGGAACCAAAACCUGGACCUCUGAGGGCCAAGAUGAAGACCCCCUGAUACUAGCAUUGACUGAGCCGGAGGCCAGGUCCAGGGCAACUCAUCUUCAGUGUGUAAAUAUAUGUGUUUAGAAUAAAACAAAACAAACAAACUCCAACCCAGAAUCAUAUGUAUCAAAAAAAAAAAAAACAAAAAAAAAAACUAAUGUUCAAAGAAUAUUGAGAAAAACACAGUAAAGAGAAAUAAAAUGAAUAAAAAAAGUCAAAUGAAAUAAUCACGCCAUUCAGCUUUGUUCCGACCAAAGUGCUACUUCUUUUCUGAAAGUCAUGGAACAAAUAAUAAUAAAAUAGUACAUUUUUAAAUUGUUAUUUCAUUUUUUUUCCAGCUUGUAUUUUGCAAAGUUAUUAUGCACGUGUCCAUGUGGCUUUGGAUUAUUCAGGCCUGGGCUAUAACAAAACUUGGCUUCCAACAGACACGUAUUAAACAAUGAGUUUUCAUUUUUGGACAUAGCAAGAGGCAGGAUAAAUAUUAAAAAUGCACUAUUUAGGAUUUUGAAUUAAUCUGACCGAUGACUUUUGCAUCCACACCCCCACAAAAAAUAUACAAUAUCUACAUGUACAACGAAACAGCGGCUAUUCAUUGUAUGUAACGUGCAAAUAUUACAUCCAAGAAUGCAAAAUUUUUGGUGAUGAUUCUAUGCAAUAGUCAACAAAUAAAUUAUACUAUACAGUACAAACAUAUGUUAUAGUUGUCUGUGCAUGUUUUUGAAUAAUAUUUUCAAAUGUGGACCACAAGGGGAGCUCCAAUCUCAAUGAUAUGUAUUCAAAUCAUUACAUACUGUAUGUGUAUCUUAGUGUAUUUAGCAUUUAGCAUUAUCACAAAUUGCUUAUUUUAUUUAAGGUGCUGCUAAUUUUGUGGUAAUUUCAUUUGACUUCCAGGAUCGUUUUUUGACAUGGAAUCUGCCAUGGAAUCUGAUCAUGGACCACAAAGCUGAUCUUUGUUUUUUUGGAAUUGUCCUGUAGGUUUCAGGAUUCCAGCAGCCUGUAUUCCAAUUCUUGUUUUCACUCUUUCUUUUGUUUCUCUUUGUGCAGCAUUUUCCCUUGGACACCUAACACUACCUGACACUGUAACUCUAUGUUGUUUAUUGUGUGUGUGUGUGUGUGUGUUUUUUCAAUUUCAAAAUUAGUCUUGAGAAAUCACUUGCGCUUUAACCGCUCAAACGCAUAACAUCCACUGCUGUCACGCUGUUAUGCAGACGUCUUGUAUCGGGAAACAGGGGUCUCAGUGACUACAGUAUAGAGUUUUUAUUUUGCGACACCCAGAAGCAUAUGGACGUGGAUGGGGCAGCGCAGCAUGAAUCAUUGAUGGUGAUCAUUAAAGGGAGAGCAAGAGGGGAAAGGUAGAUGAAAUAAAUGGCUGCACCAGCCCACUCCCUGAGUCACAGUGAUGUGAACUGACAGGACACAAGAUAAGGAGCAAUUACCCAGAGUCAUUUGGGCCAAGAGCAAAAGGCGUGCUCGCACACUCACCACUCGCAAACACAGGUACAGAUACACCUGCAGGCAGAGAAUCACAGUCGCAUGAAGAGGACACACACAUGAGCGAUAGAUGUUUUCUUUUCUAACCUGCACGCACACACACGUACAUGACACUUAGUUUGACUUAUUCCUCUCUUUUUCCUGGCUGGAGGGGAAAAGGUUCCGUCUCUCUUUCCAUCAUACUCUACUAAGCCCCAGGGAGAGAAAGCACUUAAGAUAACAUAGACACGACACAUGUUGAGACACAACAGCGCUCUAGACUUAGUGAUGUCAGAGAGAGAGCACGAAAGCUCUGCUGGAAUGAGGAUGAAGCACAGACUCUAAAUUAACAGUCAGCUGGAUUUCAGACACUUUUGUUGUCGCUGGAUUCGCACUGAAGUAGUUCUGAUUCACAAAAUGGCUCAUGAGAACGUGGCCUGACAUGGCAGUAUACAAGUGACAUUGAAACCAUCAUGACAAGGCACACCGCGACAAAAGUACAUCGGACUGACUGUGGCAUUCUGGGGCCAGGCUGGGUCUGUUUGUUAAGGUUAAGGUUCACACAACUGAACCUGUGGGCGGGGCAAGCUUGUAAUAAAUAUCUCAAUCUUUCCAGAUUCAUCUUCCCUUCAUUUUCAGACAAAUUUAUAGGCGAGCAAGGAACAAUGGAAUUGGUGUAAGGCUCAAAUUGUAGUGUUGACACGAAACCCCAAAACCUCAGAAGUGGGAGGAUGCACACCACUGCGGCACAGUAUUGCAUUGCCUCUUCAUCCAACCCAUCCUCACGCCCAUGAUGUCGUAUAUUGACAUUGCGAAAGUUGCCUUUAGCGUCCUAUACUGACAAAAAAGCCUUCAGUGUUGGAUGUUGACACAUUGGCAGCGCAACACAUGAAAAAAAGUCGGCGGUUAGGGUUAGCCAUGGGAUGGGGUUCCAGAGGCAGUCCUUCUAAAAUGCUCCCCCUGGGGGGGCGAGGAGCUAUGCCGGCGGGUACGAGAAUGAAGUGUAUUUGCACAUCCACUCAUGAUUUUUGUUUUUUCAGGCAAAUUGAUGCACUUUAAGUCUUUUCUGUUACUGACAAAAGCAGUGUUAAUAAAGCUAUUCUUUAUUGUAUGUUGAUCUAUAACACAUUCUUUUUCUUUUCUUUAAUAUUAACAAGGAUACAAUGUUGUGCAGAGGUGUACGGAUGAUAAUUUUAUAGAGAAAUGACACUA